UCCAGACUCCUACGGGAGGCAGCAGUGGGGCCUCUUGCACAAUGGGGGCCACACUGAUGCAGCGCCGCCGCGUGAGCGAAGAAGUAUUUCGGUAUGUAAAGCUCUCUCAGCAGGGAAGAAAAAAUGACGGUCCCUGACUAAGAAGCACCGGCUAAAUACGUGCCAGCAGCCGCGGUAAUACGUAUGGUGCAAGCGUUAUCCGGAUUUACUGGGUGUAAAGGGAGCGCAGGCGGUACGGCAAGUCUGAUGUGAAAGCCCGUGGCUCAACCCCGGUACUGCAUUGGAAACUGUCGGACUAGAGUGUCGGAGGGGUAAGUGGAAUUCCUAGUGUAGCGGUGAAAUGCGUAGAUAUUAGGAGGAACACCAGUGGCGAAGGCGGCUUACUGGACGAUUACUGACGCUGAGGCUCGAAAGCGUGGGGAGCAAACAGGAUUAGAUACCCUAGUACAC
This 450-nucleotide ribosomal RNA is filed under the name uncultured bacterium. RNAcentral describes it as "bacterial SSU rRNA". It matches the Rfam family "Bacterial small subunit ribosomal RNA", at positions 330 to 795 of the family's 1533-position model. The record is from RNAcentral.